CAGCCGCCGCGGUAAUACGAAGGGGGCUAGCGUUGCUCGGAAUUACUGGGCGUAAAGGGCGCGUAGGCGGAUAGUUUAGUCAGAGGUGAAAGCCCAGGGCUCAACCUUGGAAUUGCCUUUGAUACUGGCUAUCUUGAGUUCGGGAGAGGUGAGUGGAAUGCCGAGUGUAGAGGUGAAAUUCGUAGAUAUUCGGCGGAACACCAGUGGCGAAGGCGACUCACUGGCCCGAUACUGACGCUGAGGCGCGAAAGCGUGGGGAGCAAACAGGAUUAGAUACCCCUGUAUCCCUGUCUCUUAUACA
Molecule: ribosomal RNA, 301 nt
Filed under: uncultured bacterium
Lineage: Bacteria
Description: partial 16S ribosomal RNA
Rfam family: Bacterial small subunit ribosomal RNA
Source: RNAcentral